RNAcentral lists this long non-coding RNA (454 nucleotides) under Zonotrichia albicollis (white-throated sparrow). RNAcentral describes it as "lncRNA (ENSZALG00000011089.1)". The record is from RNAcentral. Lineage: Eukaryota; Metazoa; Chordata; Aves; Passeriformes; Passerellidae.
UGGUGCUCCGUGUCCCAAAGGCAUCACACACAGCAUUCCAUAAGGAUUGCAGCUCUCUCCCUUCCCUCUCCCAGUGGUGCAGCCACACCAUCAAGGGUGACAACAAGGUCACUCCCUCCUGUUCCAGGUGAGCUCUUCAGAGAAAGCUCUGUCCUGUAGUAAACAGGCAAGGAUUGCACUAAGUCAUCUCCUAUGAGGAGACUGAAAACCCCAAUUGACUGAAAUAUUAUUUAUGAGGAAGAGAGAGGCACAACUGAAUUGUCGAGUGGGCCUGGUACUGCCACUGAGAGAGACGAGACGCUGAAACAACUGAACCUGUAUGUGACCUGUUUACCUAUUUUUAUAUUAUGUCUUUACAAUGGAAGUGUGGAAGUAUCAUUAUUCCUGCUUUGCAGGAGAGAAAGACCAAACGUAGAAAAUGAUUCGCCCAAGGCCAUGCAAUGCAUCAUCGGUG